UUUUUUUUUUUUUUUUUUUUUUUUUUUUUACUACCCUCAUUUUUCUUUUCAACUCUUCAUGGCCUCCAGCCUUCACCACACUGGACCCAACGUUAGCCAAACUGGUCUCAAUAGAAAGGGGGAAUCAAGUCUUUUGAGCGUCUGAGACUUGUGGGAUGAUGGGUGACCUGGCAUUGUCCUUGGAAUCCCUUCUGAGAGUCUCAGUGUGAACUGACAACUGUACCUGCCUGACUUAAGCGGCAUCUUUGAAGGACUGGUAACUAGGGGCAGCUGCUAUUAAUCUCCACUCUGCAGAUGGGAAGCAGCCUCUCUCAGAGGGGUACAAGUGACUUCCUGUAUUAUUGCUUCCUGUAAUGGAGGGCAAGUCUCGAUCCUAAUGGAAAAUUCACUCCUCGUGCAGCUGAUUCUCCCAGAUGCCACUCUAAGGUACCCGAAUCUGUGUCCAUUUCUCUUCCUGCCUGCAGCACACCCCAGACCACGCCACCCUCUCAAGGCUGGUGGAGUGGAGACGCUCUGAGAAGUUCUCUUUGCAGCCACCAGAUGGCGCUAUUGGCCUAAAGUGCUCCGCGGCUUCCAGAAGAACAAAGGGCCCCUCAGCUACUAUACCCUCAAAGGGGAAGCUAUUGUGCAAGCCCACAUCCUCUGUGGUUCUCUCCUGAGGAAGGACUCUUGAAGUAUGGAAGUCCUUUGUGAACUUAAUCACCUCCUUCAGUUCCCAGAAGUGUCUCAAUCUAGGAUGUCCCUGUAGGCUCUUAAAUACCAAGAUGCUCUCUCUUCCAAGAUGCUUCCAAGUAGCCCCGCGGGGAAAAGAAGACAGCUUCAGGGACUCUGUCAUGGAGACAACGGAAGCCAGAGAGGUUACGUGUACCGCCGGCUCCAUUUCACACAGCUGAGAAUAGCUCAGCCGCAGUGUGAGCGCAGGACUGUGGCACACUCUUUUGUUCUGCUUUCCACUUCCACCCGGCUCCCUUUCUUCGCCACUUCUCUACCACAGACAGGGGGGACACAUCUUGGGAACGGGACCAGAUCUGGCCUUCCCAGCUCUAUGAGCUAGGCCAGAGUUCCUACCUUCUCUGCCCUGUAUGCUCUCCUUAAAGGAUUCUCUCUCCCUUCCAUUCUGCCCUAGCCUGGCAUUACAGUGGAUCCUCCCUUGUCACUCCCUUGUCUCUCCGUUCCCAUCUUCCACUUUAGGGUCUCUGACUCCCUUUCUGGGUUCAGUUAAGGUCACACAAUCCCAGGAAGAAAAGUCAAGUUUCCAGAACCCCAUAGGAGGGAGGAGAACACAAUCAUCGUUGAGUGAGGUCUGGAGCACCAAAACUACAAAUAAACAACAACACUCCAGAUACCUCAGUCCUCAGCCUAGCCUUGCCCCGACUCAGUCAACCCCACAGUGGGACAUUCACCUGCCUCCAGCCUCUAUAAGACCCACAAAAAUCCCCUCCCCAGAAGACCCCAGGAAGCAGCUCAGAGAAAGCCAGUAAGGUGUGCACGUAUCUCAAGAAGUCAUCUGCUUCCUAGGGCUUUGGGCUGGAGACCUUCAGGAAGGUCUUCCAAGUCCCUUCCCAAAAGGGUCAGGAUCUUUUCUUCUGUAACCUUUAUAUCUUUACUAUUCCAAUUUAUUUUUCCCAAAGAUGUAUUUGUUUUAUGUGCCCUGGUAUUUUGCCUGCAUGCAUGUCUAUGUGCCAGAUCCCCUAACACUGGAGUUACAGGCACUUGUGAGAUGCCACGUGGAUGUGGGGAUUGAACCUGAGGCUUCUGGAAGAGUGCCCUGUGCUUUUGAGCCCCAAUUAUCCAGAUUUAAACAGGCUCAGAGAGGUGGUGUGGCCUGUCCCAGAAAGUUGAUUUUAAAAGGAGAUUUGAACUCAGCAAACACUUGGCUCUCCCCAUGACUAAACCCCAGCCUGACUCUUCCUGACUAAUCCCCCAGUUUCUCCUGAGCAGGUCAGCAGAAUCUCUCACCUUAUUAACAUUGUUGUUUUGUUUUCUUCUUGAGAUAAGAUCUCACACUAAUCCAGGCUGGCUUUAAACUCAUGACAAUCCUCCUGCCUCAGCUCUCCAAGUACCCAUCUGGAUUUCUGUCCUAGAAGAUGAUUUUUAUCCUAGUUUCUUGCCUAGAGUUCAGGCCUUUGGACUUGGUGGUGCCCCAAGGCUAUAGUGAACUGGGAAUAACAGCUGAGCACGAUGUCUUGCUCAAGGGAGAGCAUCGCACAAACCAGCUGCAGGCUGUUGAGCCUGUCGACAUUACACUGGAGGCUUUUUGUAUUGUUUUGUUUUACUUUUGUGAUAUUGGGAAUGAAACCAGGAUCUUGUCCAUAUAGACAAGGGUUGGCCCAAGCCCCAACCUGAUCAUACAGUCUUUAAAUGACACAUGGCUUGGAAAAGAACCUAAAGAAGCCAUAAGCCUCCCAGUGUCAGCUCCCUCCUGAGCCCCACCCUUAGCUUCUCCAUGGCCAUUGCGUUUCCUCCUGACACAGCUCCAUGAUUCCUGGGCACCAGUGGGCAAAGUACAGAAUCCUGGCUUCAUUUUCAACAAGUCCAUAAUCCAGUGAAACGACAGACUGGUACUCUACCACCCGAAAGGACACUUCUGCUGGCCUGAGAACUCUGCUUCCUGGAACUUUAAAGUGUAUCUCCAUAGGCCUACUGACAUAGGCGUGUGACUGCUAAAUACUUGGGGGCUGAGGCAGGAGGAUGGCAAGUCCAGCGCCUACCUGGAUAAUUUAGUGAGACCCCCAUCUC
This 2739-nucleotide long non-coding RNA is filed under the name Mus musculus (house mouse). RNAcentral describes it as "long non-coding RNA chr13:55405052-55407791". The record is from RNAcentral. Lineage: Eukaryota; Metazoa; Chordata; Mammalia; Rodentia; Muridae.